RNAcentral lists this ribosomal RNA (827 nucleotides) under Chalaropsis thielavioides. Its description in RNAcentral is "partial large subunit ribosomal RNA". It matches the Rfam family "Eukaryotic large subunit ribosomal RNA", at positions 82 to 938 of the family's 3401-position model. The record is from RNAcentral. Lineage: Eukaryota; Fungi; Ascomycota; Sordariomycetes; Microascales; Ceratocystidaceae.
AGUAACGGCGAGCGAAGCGGCAACAGCUCAAAUUUGAAAUCUGGCUACUUUGUAGUCCGAGUUGUAAUUUGUAGAGGAUGCUUUUGGUGAGGUGCCUUCCGAGUUCCCUGGAACGGGACGCCAGAGAGGGUGAGAGCCCCGUACGGUUGGAUACCAAACCUUUGUAUAGCUCCUUCAACGAGUCGAGUAGUUUGGGAAUGCUGCUCUAAAUGGGAGGUAUAUCUCUUCUAAAGCUAAAUAUAGGCUAGAGACCGAUAGCGCACAAGUAGAGUGAUCGAAAGAUGAAAAGCACUUUGAAAAGAGAGUUAAACAGCACGUGAAAUUGUUGAAAGGGAAGCGCCUAUGACCAGACUUGUUUCUUUCAGUUUUGUUAGUUCUCGGACUGAUUUACUCUGUUAGUACAGGCCAGCAUCAGUUUGUUGUCGGGGAGAAAGGCUUAGGGAAUGUGGCUCCUUCGGGAGUGUUAUAGCCCUUUGCAUAAUACCCUUCGGCAGACUGAGGACCGCGCUUCGGCAAGGAUGCUGGCGUAAUGGUCAUCAGCGACCCGUCUUGAAACACGGACCAAGGAGUCAACCUUAUGUGCGAGUGUUUGGGUGUAAAACCCCAGCGCGUAAUGAACGUGAACGUAGGUGAGAGCUUCGGCGCAUCAUCGACCGAUUCUGAUGUUCUCGGAUGGAUUUGAGUAAGAGCACACAGGGUUGGACCCGAAAGAAGGUGAACUAUGCUUGUAUAGGGUGAAGCCAGAGGAAACUCUGGUGGAGGCUCGCAGCGGUUCUGACGUGCAAAUCGAUCGUCAAAUAUGAGCAUGGGGGCGAAAGACUAAUCGA